UGAAACUGCCGCUGUAAGGCGUGAGGAAGGAGGGGAUGAUGUCAAGUCAUCAUGGCCUUUAUGCCCAGGGCUACACACGUGCUACAAUGGCGAGUACAAAGGGCAGCUACCUGGUAACAGGAUGCUAAUCUCAAAAAACUCGUCUCAGUUCGGAUUGGGGUCUGCAACUCGACCCCAUGAAGCUGGAAUCGCUAGUAAUCGUAUAUCAGCAAUGAUACGGUGAAUACGUUCCCGGACCUUGUACACACCGCCCGUCAAGCCAUGGAAGCUGGGUGUACCUAAAGUCGGUAACCGCAAGGAGCCGCCUGGGGUAAAACUAGUAACUGGGGCUAAGUCGUAAUUAGGUAA
Molecule: ribosomal RNA, 348 nt
Filed under: uncultured soil bacterium
Lineage: Bacteria
Description: bacterial SSU rRNA
Rfam family: Bacterial small subunit ribosomal RNA
Source: RNAcentral